GACGAACGCUGGCGGCGUGCUUAACACAUGCAAGUCGAACGGAAAGGCCCUGAGAUUGUGCGGUGCUCGAGUGGCGAACGGGUGAGUAACACGAGAGUAACCUGCCCUUGACUUUGGGAUAACUUCAGGAAACUAGAGGCUAAUACCGGAUAGGAGCUCCUGCUGCGUGGUGGGGGGUGGUAAGUUUCGGCGGGUGGGGAUGUACUCGCGGCUUAUCAGCUGGUUGGUGGGGGAGUGGCUUACCAAGGCUUUGACGGGUAGCCGCCCUGGGAGGGUGACCGGCCACAUUGGGCCUGAGGGACGGCCCAGACUGCAACGGGAGGCAGCGGUGGGGAAUAGUGCACGAUGGGCGGAAGCCGGAUGCAGCACCGCCGCGUGGGGGAUGACGGCCUUCCGGUAGUAAAACGCUUUCGCCUGUGACCAAGCGUGAGUGACGGUACUGGAUAAAGAAGCAACGGCUAACUACGUG
Molecule: ribosomal RNA, 469 nt
Filed under: uncultured bacterium
Lineage: Bacteria
Description: partial 16S ribosomal RNA
Rfam family: Bacterial small subunit ribosomal RNA
Source: RNAcentral